CGUCUCAUGCCUGCCUGCAUUUCAACCCCGGUUCUCCACACCAUCCUCGCUUGAGCGUUGUUGCUCCAUACCCGGUGCCACCCCCACGUUCAGGCUCUCAUGUUUCUUGUUUUAUUCUCACAUUUACCCCGUGCUUUGUCUCUGUUAUCUCUAACCCUGUCUCUCUGUCUGUUUCCCUCCCAGGUACACUCACCCUCGUCCUCCGUUCAGUCGGCUGGGCUCAUCCACCGGCCCUCUCCUCCUCGGACCUCCCUCACGGCGUCCUCCCUGUCCUCCCACCACUCCUUGCUACCUCGGCCCCAGGCUCCUUGGUUCCCUGUGCCUGUGUUUCCCCGAUGUCCUCCACUCCAGUCCCUCUCACCCUUUUUCCCUCAAUAAACCUCCUUCCCUCAGAGUGCUGCAUUUGGGUCCUCUCUGUCCACACACCACACAACCCCGUAACAAUCUUUGAUACAUCAUGAAUGACAUCCUGAAGUGUCAGCUGCAACAUGGUCAAGUGAUGUGCAGUUUUCAUAGUCUGUAAUCUCCUCAGGCCUCCUGACCAACCUUUGGAGAGGUUCCGCCCUCAGCGCUGGCCUCCUGCCCGAUCUCCUGAACUGUGUUACCUGGGUCGUCCUCCGGGAAGGCCUCCCGAACCCGGUUUCCCCCCCUGGUCUGCCUGACCUCAUGGGUCGUCCUCCGGGACGACCACCUGAACUGUUUUGCCCUCCUGGUCUGCUCGGUCGACCUCCGGGUCGGCCCCCUGAACUCUGUAUUCCCCCUUGCUCGGACCUCGGCCUCCCGAACUGUUCUGCCCUGCAUGCCAAGUGCCUUACCUGCCCUGUUUCCUGGGCAUGAUCUGCCUGUUGGGUGAUUCCCCCGGACUGUUUUGUUCCCUAACCCUGAUUUGCCUGUUUUGUCUUCCUCCUGGACUUUAUGACCCCCCUGCUCUGCCCUCAGGCCACCUGCCGGAGAAUUCCCUGUCUACUGCCUGGCCUGUCUGGGUUUUGUUUUUCUGUUGCUACCUUUUGGAUGUACCAGUUCCUGUCCUCGUGAGUUCUGUUCAUGCCAGUUUGUCAUGCUUGGGAUAAAUAAACCCUGGAACUCAAUCUCA
Long non-coding RNA from Micropterus salmoides (largemouth bass), 1093 nucleotides. RefSeq lists it as uncharacterized. The transcript is spliced from 3 exons. Lineage: Eukaryota; Metazoa; Chordata; Actinopteri; Centrarchiformes; Centrarchidae. The record is from RefSeq and is a predicted model, not a curated record.